Molecule: ribosomal RNA, 377 nt
Filed under: uncultured Serratia sp.
Lineage: Bacteria; Pseudomonadati; Pseudomonadota; Gammaproteobacteria; Enterobacterales; Yersiniaceae
Description: bacterial SSU rRNA
Rfam family: Bacterial small subunit ribosomal RNA
Source: RNAcentral
UAAUACGGAGGGUGCAAGCGUUAAUCGGAAUUACUGGGCGUAAAGCGCACGCAGGCGGUUUGUUAAGUCAGAUGUGAAAUCCCCGGGCUCAACCUGGGAACUGCAUUUGAAACUGGCAAGCUAGAGUCUCGUAGAGGGGGGUAGAAUUCCAGGUGUAGCGGUGAAAUGCGUAGAGAUCUGGAGGAAUACCGGUGGCGAAGGCGGCCCCCUGGACGAAGACUGACGCUCAGGUGCGAAAGCGUGGGGAGCAAACAGGAUUAGAUACCCUGGUAGUCCACGCUGUAAACGAUGUCGAUUUGGAGGUUGUGCCCUUGAGGCGUGGCUUCCGGAGCUAACGCGUUAAAUCGACCGCCUGGGGAGUACGGCCGUCAAGGUUA